Molecule: ribosomal RNA, 446 nt
Filed under: uncultured bacterium
Lineage: Bacteria
Description: partial 16S ribosomal RNA
Rfam family: Bacterial small subunit ribosomal RNA
Source: RNAcentral
CCUACGGGAGGCAGCAGUCGAGAAUCAUUCACAAUGGGGGAAACCCUGAUGGUGCGACGCCGCGUGGGGGAAUGAAGGUCUUCGGAUUGUAAACCCCUGUCAUGUGGGAGCAAAUUAAAAAGAUAGUACCACAAGAGGAAGAGACGGCUAACUCUGUGCCAGCAGCCGCGGUAAUACAGAGGUCUCAAGCGUUGUUCGGAAUCACUGGGCGUAAAGUGUGCGUAGGCUGGUUCGUAAGGCGUGUGUGAAAGGCGCGGGCUCAACCCGCGGACGGCACGUGAUACUGUGGGACUAGAGUAAUGGAGAGGGAAGCGGAAUGCGCGGUGUAGCAGUGAAAUGCGUAGAUAUCGAGAGGAACACUCGUGGCGAAGGCAGGUUCCUGGACAUUAACUGACGCUGAGGCACGAAGGCCAGGGGAGCGAAAGGGAUUAGAUACCCUGGUAGUC